Molecule: long non-coding RNA, 665 nt
Organism: Bombus pascuorum
Lineage: Eukaryota; Metazoa; Arthropoda; Insecta; Hymenoptera; Apidae
Exons: 3
Source: RefSeq, a predicted model, not a curated record
CAUUUGUCCCAGACAUAUUCCAUUUUUGUAAUAUUGGUUAUGAUACUUCGAAAUAAUAUAUGUAAACAACAAUCAUUUCUCUUUACAAAAGCUAAUACGAAUAUAGUGAAAUAUAAAAAUAAAAUAUAGUACUCUUUUCUACUGCUACAGCUUUUUUUUAGUAAAUGUUUGUGAUCGUGACCGCGCGCAACGCGGUCUGUAUUAUCUAAUUAUAAUAAUCAUACGCGAAAUUAGAGUCAGUGUUUGUUCGCCGAUUAUUACAUAAACGAACAUGUAGUCUUUUAUUUUUCGUUUUUUGUAUGUACAUUUUUUAAAUUUACAUUUUCGGCAUUAGAGUCAGUGCUCAACAGGAUACAAUCUCUCCACAACCUUAACAAUGUUUUCCACUACCUCGGCUUCUCCCUGUUCUCUGAAUCUGAUGGUGCUUUGAAAGCGAAGAGUGUAAUCCGAUAAUUCUUCCUCGAUGACUUCUGUUAUGACCGCUCCUGGGCUAUUGCAGCAUCGAUGACGAUGACGAAUUUCUCCGCAUUGUGAGUCGCAUAUUUUUUUUAUCCCUCCAUUCACUCAAUCAUGUCAUAGGACGAAAGGUCCGAAUCAACAUGGGUUGUAUUACGUAGAACUUUUUGCAAGCAUAAUGAUCGGGGGUAUCUUUUAUAUUUAUGAAU